CCUGAGAAAAGCUACAUGUGGGACAAGGACAGGCCAAAAAAUUGCAGACUGGUACGCAAUAAUGUUGUGUUUUGUCCCUUCUGGGUCAUGCCCAACCUGGAAUGCACCAAGCCUAGUUCUAGAUCCAGGGUGGGAUGGGUGAAGUAGCUUGCUUAGGGUUCUGGGUGCAGCCCAUGCUGGAUCUGGAUGGCUUUUGGAUUCAUGAUUUAGGCUUAGAUUAGACUCAUCC
Molecule: long non-coding RNA, 229 nt
Filed under: Elaeis guineensis (African oil palm)
Lineage: Eukaryota; Viridiplantae; Streptophyta; Magnoliopsida; Arecales; Arecaceae
Description: long non-coding RNA (EGUI_LNC024937)
Source: RNAcentral